Vicia faba (fava bean) is the source of this 330-nucleotide non-coding RNA. Lineage: Eukaryota; Viridiplantae; Streptophyta; Magnoliopsida; Fabales; Fabaceae. The record is from the annotation of a GenBank genome assembly.
AUGAAUCCCUCUAUCGUUGAUAAUGGAGGAUUAGCUCCCAGAAGAUAUCAAACUAGGGAGGACUUCCGAUACGCUAUUUCUUCUUCAAUAUCUUCUAAUUCUAUUUUGACUCUUUUCACCACAUGUCCUCCGUCCUCAAAUUUUCUACUAAGAUUUUGUGUUGUAAUAUUCAAGAUUGGAGAGGUUAGGGUUUUACCUUUAACGAUGCCUCUUGCACAAUCUUCAUUUUCCUUUAUGAAAUUUGCAAUUCCAUGCUCUAGUUCUAUAGCAAUUCCUUCACGUGGUGUGACUUCUUCGUCGUUAGAGCUUCCCCUCUUCUCCAAACACUAA